RNAcentral lists this unclassified non-coding RNA (348 nucleotides) under Hevea brasiliensis (rubber tree). Lineage: Eukaryota; Viridiplantae; Streptophyta; Magnoliopsida; Malpighiales; Euphorbiaceae. The record is from RNAcentral.
AUUAAUCAAGCAAUUAAUUUUCUAUUAAGGCUUAACAAAUACGUCUAAUAGUCUCACAUGAUGGAUGCUUUAGGAUGAAUAUAUAUAUAGCAUAGUGCCUUCAUAUGCAUCAUUUCGUUGUAUGUUCUCUUCUCACACAAAAAUUUUCUACCAUGGAGGAUCAGUUUCCGAGAAUGGAGACCUUCAUACGAGAAGACUUGCCUUGUUAUAGUUUUCAUGGAAUGGCUACAGGAUCCAAAUAUUUUCAUGAUUCCAUGAUUUGGGGAGCUUCAACUGAGACUACUACUUGCAGGGACAAUGGGAAUAGUGGCAUCAAAUCAACAACAUCAUCAUCAUCAUCUUCUUCUU